RNAcentral lists this ribosomal RNA (301 nucleotides) under uncultured bacterium. Its description in RNAcentral is "partial 16S ribosomal RNA". It matches the Rfam family "Bacterial small subunit ribosomal RNA", at positions 509 to 807 of the family's 1533-position model. The record is from RNAcentral.
CAGUCGCCACGGUAAUACGAAGGGGGCUAGCGUUGCUCGGAAUUACUGGGCGUAAAGGGCGCGUAGGCGGACAGUUCAGUCGGGGGUGAAAGCCCGGGGCUCAACCUCGGAAUUGCCUUCGAUACUGGCUGUCUUGAGUACGAGAGAGGUGUGUGGAACUCCGAGUGUAGAGGUGAAAUUCGUAGAUAUUCGGAAGAACACCAGUGGCGAAGGCGACACACUGGCUCAUUACUGACGCUGAGGCGCGAAAGCGUGGGGAGCAAACAGGAUUAGAUACCCCUGUAGUCCCUGUCUCUUAUAC